RNAcentral lists this ribosomal RNA (253 nucleotides) under uncultured bacterium. Its description in RNAcentral is "partial 16S ribosomal RNA". It matches the Rfam family "Bacterial small subunit ribosomal RNA", at positions 524 to 776 of the family's 1533-position model. The record is from RNAcentral.
UACGAAGGGGGCUAGCGUUGUCCGGAAUCAUUGGGCGUAAAGCGCGCGUAGGCGGCCCGGUCAGUCCGCUGUAAAAGUCCAGGGCUCAACCCUGGAAAGCCGGUGGAUACUGUCGGGCUAGAGUCCGGAAGAGGCGAGUGGAAUUCCUGGUGUAGCGGUGGAAUGCGCAGAUAUCAGGAGGAACACCGAUAGCGAAGGCAGCUCGCUGGGACGGUACUGACGCUGAGGUGCGAAAGCGUGGGGAGCGAACAGG